Molecule: ribosomal RNA, 743 nt
Filed under: Arthrobacter globiformis
Lineage: Bacteria; Bacillati; Actinomycetota; Actinomycetes; Micrococcales; Micrococcaceae
Description: bacterial SSU rRNA
Rfam family: Bacterial small subunit ribosomal RNA
Source: RNAcentral
GAUUUUGGGCGUAAGAGCUCGUAGGCGGUUUUGUCGCGUCUGCCGUGAAAGUCCGGGGCUCAACUCCGGAUCUGCGGUGGGUACGGGCAGACUAGAGUGAUGUAGGGGAGACUUGGAAUUCCUGGUGUAGCGGUGAAAUGCGCAGAUAUCAGGAGGAACACCGAUGGCGAAGGCAGGUCUCUGGGCAUUAACUGACGCUGAGGAGCGAAAGCAUGGGGAGCGAACAGGAUUAGAUACCCUGGUAGUCCAUGCCGUAAACGUUGGGCACUAGGUGUGGGGGACAUUCCACGUUUUCCGCGCCGUAGCUAACGCAUUAAGUGCCCCGCCUGGGGAGUACGGCCGCAAGGCUAAAACUCAAAGGAAUUGACGGGGGCCCGCACAAGCGGCGGAGCAUGCGGAUUAAUUCGAUGCAACGCGAAGAACCUUACCAAGGCUUGACAUGGACCGGACCGCCGCAGAAAUGUGGUUUCCCCUUUGGGGCUGGUUUACAGGUGGUGCAUGGUUGUCGUCAGCUCGUGUCGUGAGAUGUUGGGUUAAGUCCCGCAACGAGCGCAACCCUCGUUCUAUGUUGCCAGCACGUGAUGGUGGGGACUCAUAGGAGACUGCCGGGGUCAACUCGGAGGAAGGUGGGGACGACGUCAAAUCAUCAUGCCCCUUAUGUCUUGGGCUUCACGCAUGCUACAAUGGCCGGUACAAAGGGUUGCGAUACUGUGAGGUGGAGCUAAUCCCAAAAAGCCGGUCUC